GACGAACGCUGGCGGCGUGCUUAACACAUGCAAGUCGAACGGAAAGGCCCUGCUUGCUGGGUACUCGAGUGGCGAACGGGUGAGUAACACGUGGGUGAUCUGCCCUGCACUUCGGGAUAAGCCUGGUAAACUGGGCCUAAUACCGGACAGGAGCCAUUUUUAGAGUGCUGGUUGGAAAGUUUUUUCGGUGUAGGAUGAGCUCGCGGCCUAUCAGCUUGUUGGUGGGGUAAUGGCUUACCAAGGCGGCGACGGGUAGCCGGCCUGAGAGGGUGGACGGCCACAUUGGGACUGAGGUACGGCCGCGGCUGCUACGGGAGGGAGCAGUGGGGAAUAUUGCACGAUGGGCGCAAGCCUGAUGCAGCGACGCCGCGUGGGGGAUGACGGCCUUCGGGUUGUAAACUACAUUCGCUAGGAACGAAGCUUUUGUGACGGUACCUAGAUAAGAAGCACCGGCUAACUACGUG
This 464-nucleotide ribosomal RNA is filed under the name uncultured bacterium. RNAcentral describes it as "partial 16S ribosomal RNA". It matches the Rfam family "Bacterial small subunit ribosomal RNA", at positions 28 to 507 of the family's 1533-position model. The record is from RNAcentral.